AUUUGCCAUACAGCAAGAAAAAAAGAAAAGAAGAAAUGUUGAAGAGUUGCACCAAAAAGUUAGGGAAAAGUUAAGAAUAACGAAAGAGCAAUGUAGGACAGAAGCUGAUGUGACAAAACAAAUUAAACUGGCUCUCGAAUCAACGGAGGUGGAAUUGAAGACAGGAGGAAAUAAAUAAAAUAAAAUUUCUGAAACUGAUGAAAAAGAAGAAGACCUGCUGCAUGAAAACAGCUUGAUGCAAGAUGAAAUUGCCAGGCUCAGGCUGGAAAAAGACACAAUAAAAAACCAAAACCUGGAAAAGAAAUACUUAAAAGACUUUGAAAUUGUGAAAAGAAAGCGUGAAGACCUUCAAAAGACUCUAAAACGGAAUGAAGAAACAUUAGCAAAAACGAUAGCCUGUUAUAGUGGACAGCUUGCUGCUCUGACGGAUGAAAACACAACGCUCCAUUCCAAACUGGAGAAGCAAAGAGAGAGCAGGCAAAGACUGGAAACAGAAAUGCAAUCAUACCGUUGUAGACUGAAUGCUGCUCUAUGUGAUCAUGAUCAAAGUCACUCAUCAGAAAGAGACCAAGAGCUUGCGUUCCAGGGCACAGUAGAUAAAUGGUGUCAUUUACAGGAAAAUUUGAAUUCUUGUGUUCUGAUUCUCUCUCUGCAACUUUCUAAAGCUGAGAGUAAGUCCAGAGUCCUCGAAACUGAGCUGCAUUAUACAAGAGAGGCUCUGAAAGAAAAGGCUUUGGUUUUUGAAUACGUGCAAAGUGAGCUAAAGCAAAAACAGAGUCGAAUGAAGGACAUUGAAAAAAUGUACAAAAGUGGAUACAAUAGAAUGGAAAAAUGCAUAGAAAAGCAGGAAAGAUUUUGUCAACUAAAAAAACAAAAUAUGUUGCUUCAACAGCAACUGGAUGAUGCUCGCAACAAAGCUGACAAUCAAGAAAAAGCAAUACUUAAUAUUCAAGCCAGAUGUGAUGCUAGAGUACAAAACCUUCAAGCUGAGUGCAGAAAGCGCUGUCUUUUACUAGAAGAAGACAGUAAAAUGUUGGUCAAUGAAUUGAAUCAUUGGAAAGGAAAAGAACGCCAGUAUGAAAAAGAGAAAGCAGAAAGAGAAGUAGCUGUGAGACAGCUUCAACGAAAACGAGAUGAUGUCUUAAACAAACAAUCAGCAACAAAAGCUUUGCUGGAUGCUUCAUCGCGUCACUGCAUCUAUUUAGAAAAUGAGAUGCAGGAUUCAAGGAAGAAAUUAGACCAAAUGAGAAGUCAAGUAUGUAUGAAACUUUGCAUGCCAACAGCUGUUAAUCUGUAGCUAGUUAACUAAUAUAAAGUGCUUUGGGGUACUAAUUUUAGUGGAUGGCUUUCUUUUGUAUUUUCCUUAUUAUUAAUUUUAUUAAAAUUUUAUUAUAACACACCUAUAUCUUAAUCUCUGGCUUUCAUUCUGCCAUUUUUUAUACAUAUAUUUUUUUCUUAAAUAUUUAACCUUAGGAAAGUUGAGAAUUAUGCAUCAAUUCUCACAGAAGUUGAGAGAGUUUUUUUUUCCUGUUAAACAGUCUAUUUUUAAUGAUUUCUCUGUUGGCAUGGUGAGGCAAGCCAGAUUAAUUCAGAGGAUAAUGUCUAAUGGAAUGUUUCAGAAAAUUAUCUUAUUUUUAGUCUCUACUUUUCUGAAUGUAUAAAGAACCUGUGUAUACUUAUUUCAUAGAUUUCAGGUUAACUUGUUCAGAAAGGCCAUUUUACUGAAUAAAUUUUUAUUUCGAUGAAAAUCCUUACUCUCUGUAUUGGGCUCAGAGAGCACAUUCUGUCUCUAUAUGAAUAUGGAGAGUUAGCAUUUGCCAACAUGUAUCUAUUUUCUCUUAUUUAUAGAAAAAGCUAAACUAAAAAGGUGGUUAUAGAAGGUCAGCAAAGGAUGGGUUUGAGAUGUUUGGGUUGGUUAAGUGGGCAUUUAGACAACAAGAUUUCUCCUUUGGCAUGUUUAAUGGACAUCUUUGCAGUUUAAGAUGACGCUUUUAAAUUACUUCUCUCCUAAUGAUGACUUGAGUCUUGCUAUUCAGUGAGAGGGUCAAUAAGAUCCUGUAGGAUCUUAUUUGGAACUGACUUUGUGGAUUUUAAUUUUGUUCCUGCUUGUUUUUAAAUUUUCUUGUUGUUUCCCUAGAAAGGAAAGAUGACACUUAGUUUUAAAUAUUUAAAAAUGUGCAAGUUGCUUUGCUAUAAUAAAACUAAAUGCAUACAUACAAAAAAUAAAAUUAUAGUUGAUGUGGUAGUGUUUGGAAUUCAAAAUAUAAAUGCUUAGCAUGAGGUAAUCCUUUAUCUUUCCACAUUUUACCAGUUUGUAAGUUUGAAUAUUUAACUGAUAAAAUGUAAUUCAAAAGCAAGAAGAAUGUUGUGUUUUAGUCUUAGAGCAGGGGUCUGUGAACUUUUCUGUAAAGGGCCAGAUAGUAUUAUUUAAGGCUUUGUGAGCCAUAAGAUCAUUGUUGCAAUAACUCAGCCCUGCAGUUAUAGCACAAAAGUAGCCAUGAACAAUAUGCAGAUUGAAGGGGUGUAGCAGUGUCCCACUAAAAUUAAUUACAGAAAACAGGUAAUGGGAUGAUUUCUCCUAGAUUCUGACCUUUUUUAAAUAAAAAAGAUUGUGAUAGUCU
Molecule: small RNA, 2621 nt
Filed under: Pongo abelii (Sumatran orangutan)
Lineage: Eukaryota; Metazoa; Chordata; Mammalia; Primates; Hominidae
Description: retained intron
Source: RNAcentral